UGGCAACAUCUUUUUGCAAUGUUUAAUAUUUGGAUCCAUGAACAUAAAAUUUGAACUUCCUAAUUUACUCCAUGAACACAAAAAACAAAUACUAUAAAACUAAUAUGGAAAAUAAACAUGACAAAACUAGUUUUUUCAAUUCAGUGUACCGCGCACACACGUGGGCAGCACAUCCACAAUUUCUUUUGGCUGACAUCAUAUGAAAGUGUUUGUUUAAUAACUGAUUUUUUCACCAAUGACCAGUAAAUCCGGUGUAUAGCUUAGUAGAACUUCACCGAUGCCGGCACAUAGCCCUUGUACAUGGCGUAGUUCCUGUUUCCCUGCAUUGAACUUCUUCAGCUGACACAACAAAGCGUCCACACACAGUUUUGUACCACUACACGAUAGGAGGGAAGCUUCUGACAUGCCUCAACUAAGAAGCACCGGCUGGGUUCUUCAUAUCCUGGGGAGAGUAAUUCUCAGGUGUCAAAUGCGACAAUUUACAUGAGUUGAUGGAGAGAGGAUUUGAGCUAUCGGUGGCAUAACCUUCAUAUCCGUAGAACAAACAAAUCAUAAGCAUAAGCAAUAGGCUGUUAUCAAGAAACAAAAAACAUGCUAGAGGUUGACAAAAAGAGGCGCCAUGGUUGCAGCCGAAGACGGUGUAGGUGGUUAGCCGCGCCGGUGACGCGCUGGAGGAAGGGAGUGUUGUCACCGACAGCGGGCGAUGAGGAAGUGAGCAGCUGCAGUGCAUGCGGGCCUGACUGGCUUCCAUACAUUAUGCAUUGUUGCUACCCAAAAUCAGAAAUAUCUGAAACAUGGAUGGGAUGGGAUGGAAGAAGUGCUACGCUGACCGUCACCUUCUGUUGUGGACUUCUGUUCGCGAUGGCCUCGACCUCCCUGACGCUACGGGGCUGGACUGUGAUGGUGUUGGGUCACUGUCAGCGCAAUUGGGACUUGGACGGUGCAUCUCUGCACACUUCCACCUCUGAAUGCUGUGCAG
RNAcentral lists this long non-coding RNA (979 nucleotides) under Triticum aestivum (bread wheat). RNAcentral's name for it is "long non-coding RNA (TAES_LNC006765)". Lineage: Eukaryota; Viridiplantae; Streptophyta; Magnoliopsida; Poales; Poaceae. The record is from RNAcentral.